RNAcentral lists this ribosomal RNA (667 nucleotides) under Nidirana pleuraden (Yunnan pond frog). Its description in RNAcentral is "partial 12S ribosomal RNA". It matches the Rfam family "Bacterial small subunit ribosomal RNA", at positions 608 to 1525 of the family's 1533-position model. Lineage: Eukaryota; Metazoa; Chordata; Amphibia; Anura; Ranidae. The record is from RNAcentral.
CUCAAGCUGAUAAUCGUCGGCGUUAAGCGUGAUUAAAGUUUUUAUGAAUUAGGGUCAAAUUAAUACUUAGUAGUUUUAAGCUUGUUAUUAAGAAGAACACACACGAAAGUUACCCUAACUACACUUGAACCCACGACAGCUGGGGCACAAACUGGGAUUAGAUACCCCACUAUGCCCAGCCGUAAACAAUUAACUCACACUAACAAGCGCCAGGGAAUUACGAGCUAUGCUUAAAACCCAAAGGACUUGACGGUUUCCCACCCCCCUAGAGGAGCCUGUUCUAUAAUCGAUGAUCCCCGCUAUACCCAACCACCCCUCGCUCCAGUCUGUAUACCUCCGUCGAAAGCUUACCGUAUGAACGUUUUCAGUAAGCCUAAUGACCCCCAUCAAUACGUCAGGUCAAGGUGCAGCUUAAGGGAUGGAAAGUAAUGGGCUACAAUUUCUAACCUAGAACAAACGAAAGACUAUGUGAAACCAUGGUCAUGAAGGCGGAUUUAGUAGUAAAAAGAAAAUAGAGUGUUCUUUUUAACAUGGCUCUGGGACGCGUACACACCGCCCGUCACCCUCUUCAAUAUUAUUUUUAUUCAGUUAUUAACCCCUUUUACCUCACAUCUUAGAAGAGGCAAGUCGUAACAUGGUAAGUGUACUGGAAAGUGCACUUGGAACA